CAGGGGGCUGCCUUCUCUACU
Molecule: microRNA, 21 nt
Filed under: Gallus gallus (chicken)
Lineage: Eukaryota; Metazoa; Chordata; Aves; Galliformes; Phasianidae
Description: microRNA Ros-gga
Source: RNAcentral